GGGAGACCCCGUCUUCCUUCCGUGGNUCUACGUCUUUACACACAUACGAUGUCUCGUGGAAUGUUUUUCGCGUUUAACGCAAUACAAUACAACUUUCAGCAACGGAUCUCUUGGCUCUCGCAUCGAUGAAGAACGCAGCGAAAUGCGAUAAGUAAUGUGAAUUGCAGAAUUCAGUGAAUCAUCGAAUCUUUGAACGCACCUUGCGCCCCUUGGUUAUUCCUUGGGGCAUGCCUGUUUGAGUAUCAUGAACACCUCAACUCUCAUGGUCUUCCGUGACGAGCUUGGACUUUGGGGGUUUGCUGGCCCUGUGGCCGGCUCCUCUCAAACAAAUCAGCUUGCCAGUGUUUGGCGGCAUCUCACGGGUGUGAUAACUAUCUACGCUCGCGGUUGUCUGCCAGGUAACCCUCAGCGAUGAAGGUUCAUUGGGGCUCACAAACGUCUCUCCUCGGCGAGGACAACUUUUGAACGUUCGAUCUCAAAUCAGGUAGGACUACCCGCU
RNAcentral lists this ribosomal RNA (499 nucleotides) under uncultured fungus. RNAcentral's name for it is "eukaryotic LSU rRNA". The stretch from base 91 to 245 matches the Rfam family "5.8S ribosomal RNA". Lineage: Eukaryota; Fungi. The record is from RNAcentral.